CAGCCAUGUGAUCUGUGCCAGAAAAGAUACUGAUACUUGUAUCCCACGCUCCUUCCAAAGCAAGUGGAGUAUGUGGGGUGCCUAGAUAAACUGCCAUCCAGGUUCUGACUAGGCCUCAUCCAGGUGCUGACUAGGCCUCCGAUUGAAUCCAAAAGUAGAUCUUGAUGAGCGAUGUGAGGAAUUCUGUCAGAGAGGCUGCAAGAACAGGAUGCUUCUCAAGAUUCUGGUAGGCUCCAGUACAUAGCUGGUGACUUGUGAUCAGCUUGUUCUGAGGCCUGGUCCACACAUGCAGCAGAAUGAAGUGGAGGAGUCCUGAGCUGGAAGAGCAGUCUGUACCACAUCACACUGGUGUUUAAACUGUGGCUAAGAAAGGAAUAAGAGAACAAGAGCAGAAAUACAAGAUCAUUGACAUUUGUGAAAAAUGCAACCACCACCGAAAAGAGGAAAGGAAAACUCAAGCUUUGACUCAGCAGAGACUCUGUUGCAAAAUAAGAUGAAUGGAAGACUGAAGCACACGAGAGCCACAGAUGCCUUGGAAAAAAGAAAAGAAAAAGAGAACAGAGAUGAGGUCAUCCUUUCACGUGAACCAAGGACAUUUAAAAGCAAUCUGGCUUUUCAAACCAAGAGUGGCACAACUGAAAUCACUCUGAGGGCCACAUUUACAUUUUUAUGAACUCAGGAGGCCAUAUUGCUACGUUAACCAUGAAAAAAGCCGUUGUUGCAGUCUUAAAUCUUUAUUUUUAACCCA
This is a long non-coding RNA of Hemicordylus capensis (graceful crag lizard), 748 nucleotides long. RefSeq lists it as uncharacterized. The record is from RefSeq and is a predicted model, not a curated record. The transcript has 4 exons. Lineage: Eukaryota; Metazoa; Chordata; Lepidosauria; Squamata; Cordylidae.